UACAGAGGUCCCAAGCGUUGUUCGGAUUCAUUGGGCGUAAAGGGUGCGUAGGUGGCGUGGUAAGUCGGGUGUGAGAUUUCGGAGCUUAACUCCGAAACUGCAUUCGAUACUGCCGUGCUUGAGGACUGGAGAGGAGACUGGAAUUCCCGGUGUAGCGGUGAAAUGCGUAGAUAUCGGGAGGAACAUCAGUGGCGAAGGCGGCCCUCUGGUCCAGUACUGACACUCAAGUGCGAAAGCGUGGGGAGCAAACAGG
Molecule: ribosomal RNA, 253 nt
Filed under: uncultured bacterium
Lineage: Bacteria
Description: partial 16S ribosomal RNA
Rfam family: Bacterial small subunit ribosomal RNA
Source: RNAcentral